GCCUUAUCCGGAUUUACUGGGUGUAAAGGGAGCGUAGACGGUUUUGCAAGUCUGAAGUGAAAGCCCGGGGCUUAACCCCGGGACUGCUUUGGAAACUGUAGAACUAGAGUGCAGGAGAGGUAAGUGGAAUUCCUAGUGUAGCGGUGAAAUGCGUAGAUAUUAGGAGGAACACCAGUGGCGAAGGCGGCUUACUGGACUGUAACUGACGUUGAGGCUCGAAAGCGUGGGAGCAAACAGGAUUAGAUACCCUGGUAGUCCACGCCGUAAACGAUGAUUACUAGGUGUUGGUGGGUAGACCCAUCGGUGCCGCAGCAAACGCAAUAAGUAAUCCACCUGGGGAGUACGUUCGCAAGAAUGAAGCUCAAAGGAAUUGACGGGGACCCGCACAAGCGGUGGAGCAUGUGGUUUAAUUCGAAGCAACGCGAAGAACCUUACCUGGUCUUGACAUCCCUAUGAAUAACGGGCAAUGCCGUUAGUACUUCGGUACAUAGGAGACAGGUGGUGCAUGGUUGUCGUCAGCUCGUGUCGUGAGAUGUUGGGUUAAGUCCCGCAACGAGCGCAACCCUUAUCUUUAGUAGCCAGCAGUAAGAUGGGCACUCUAGAGAGACUGCCGGGGAUAACCCGGAGGAAGGUGGGGAUGACGUCAAAUCAUCAUGCCCCUUAUGACCAGGGCUACACACGUGCUACAAUGGCGUAAACAAAGAGAAGCGAAGUCGUGAGGCAGAGCGAAUCUCAAAAAUAACGUCUCAGUUCGGAUUGUAGUCUGCAACUCGACUACAUGAAGCUGGAAUCGCUAGUAAUCGCAGAUCAGAAUGCUGCGGUGAAUACGUUCCCGGGUCUUGUACACACCGCCCGUCACACCAUGGGAGUCGGAAAUGCCCGAAGUCGGUGACCUAACCGCAAGGAAGGAGCCGCCGAAGG
Molecule: ribosomal RNA, 921 nt
Filed under: uncultured Eubacteriales bacterium
Lineage: Bacteria; Bacillati; Bacillota; Clostridia; Eubacteriales
Description: bacterial SSU rRNA
Rfam family: Bacterial small subunit ribosomal RNA
Source: RNAcentral